Molecule: long non-coding RNA, 4774 nt
Organism: Sceloporus undulatus (fence lizard)
Lineage: Eukaryota; Metazoa; Chordata; Lepidosauria; Squamata; Phrynosomatidae
Exons: 8
Source: RefSeq, a predicted model, not a curated record
UGAGAGAGAGACUUCUCUCUGUGUUGUGUGUAACACUUCACUUCACUCUCAUGUGUGAAUGUAUGAGAGACAGAUUUGUGUGUCUUGUGUGUGAGAGACAGACCUCUCUCUCUCUGGUGUGUUUGUGUGUAACACUCAAUUUCACUCUCUCUCAUGUGUAUAUGUGUGUUUGAGAGAGAGACUUCCCUCUGUUGUGUGUUUGUGUGUAAUACUUAACUAAAAGUUAACUGAAAGUUGUAACAAAUACCAAUUUAAAGCAGUUACCGAAAGAGAAGUAAAAACAUAUAAUAUUGUAAAACAUACAUAAUAAAACAGCAGUAAAUAACAACAAUGGGAAAGUAUGUGGUCGCCAGUUGUGUAUGCGAUGCGCAGAGGCAUUCCCUCUGUGUGCGUUUUAAUUGACGGAGUGAUUAAAUAAUCGAAUUACCGCUUUUCGUUCUAAAAAAAAAAUCCCGAAGUGAUUUAUAAAUCUUUUUUAAAAGGUGACGAAGACACUAAAAACAACAACGGCAACAAAACAACGAAACGCUCCAUUAAAACCACCGUGUUUAAGCUGCGUCAAUUUCCGAAGACGGUAGCUGUGCUGCUCUUUUAUUGAUGAAACUAACAAGCAAGCGAACAAUGCGGCAUCUUAUGGCAAUUUAAAGAUUAACUUUAUUAUAGCGGCCUCAUUAACGCCGAUUCCCUGAAUUUACUAUCGCCCUCGUAUGCCAUAAUAAAUGGGCUAGUCUUCCCAGAGCCACAGGGCUCUGUUGUUUCAGCUGGGAGUAAAUUUCAUGGAGGCCGGUGUUUGUUUGUUUUUGACUUCCGCAGAAUCAACAGACAACGUCUUUCAUGCUGCAAGAGACACAACUGUGUCUUGGGACACCUUAAAGACCGCAAGAGAUGAACACAGACAUCAUCCUUUGGAAGCAAGUGACAGAACUGAGAUUGAACUUGAUAGCCCUUCCAACUCUAUGAUUCCAUGAUUCUUCAAUAUCAUUAUACCUGGCUGUUCAGAUUGACUUUCUGCACUUUGACUUGGUCAUUAAUAUGUAAAAAUAGAGACUGUGGUCAAGAAAUCGGAAGAUUAGGAUUUGGAAGGCCAGCUAAAAAGGAACUGGACAAGAUUCUCAAGUGAGAAGACACUGUAUAUACCAAGAUCAAGAAGACUAUCCUUGCAAUAAUAUUUCUCAUUUCUAUAGCCAUCGGUACAAAAUCUGAUACCUCUCCCCUGCAACUGAUGUACGCAACUGAAGUCACGGUUUGUAGUUCUCCAUGUCAGUGGGUUGGUGAAUCCAUGCCAUGGUUUUGGCUCUCUGAAAAGGAGCUUUCCGGGAUGUUGGGCCUGUUUGGGAACAAGGUUCAGCACAUGUUAAAACCUGGAUUCACUGCCUCACUGACAUGAGAGCCACCAUCUCUCACGAGGCAACAGCAAAGUAAGAUUACAAAUGCAUCUCCUUGUGUAGAAAUACGACACUAUGCACUGGUGGAAACCGCUGUUAGAAUAAUCCCCUUAGAUCGAAUGGGGCCUCUAGUCAGGAAGACAGUUUUAGGAUCCCAGGUGAUAACAUGCAUGAAGCAUUGCUUUGAGCCGGGCAUUGUGAGAGACAAAAGACUUGCCAGAUUGCACCGUGUUGAUUUACCGUUUCAUGCCUCUGUAUCGCAGCGCUGUGCAAACAGAAAGAAGUGCGGAAGAAGUGAUAAAAAGAAGCGAUAAAAAGAAGCAUUUUGCUUCUGUACUUCCAUAAGAUGUGUGCCAAAGUCAAGCAUAUUCCUGAUAAAUGGCCCAAACUGGGUUAGAUCUGUCGGCUCUCUUCUUCAUCUUCGUUUUAAUAGUUUUUAUUAAAUUUUAUCGUUGUGUUCUUUUAAAACACAACACAAGUCCUGUAUAUAUUAUUCAUUGUCUUCCAUACAUUCUCCCAUUUCUGCUCAUACCUUCAAUAACAUGCAAUCGCUCUAACUUCCAUCUAGUAAUACUUAGUAGGUAGGUCAACUUAUCCAUCUCAACCUUGUCUAACAGUUUCAACAUCUUCUCUUCUACCGAUAGCAGUGUUGACUCUCUUAUAAUGCUUAUUCUCCUGAAUGUGGCUAAAGAUGUGUUGAUUUUAUUUCCAAAUCCCAUUACCAAAAGCAACAACAACCCUAAGGCGAAACUAGAUGCUAUAGACAUCACAUGCAGGGAAACCUUACUGUUCCUUGCAACUAAAUAUACGGGUUCUACUCCAAAUUGGGUCCAUCCCAACAGAAGUAGAGGAAGUUUAGGCUUUCCUACUGCUUAUUACCCCUAAAAUUACACCAGUUCUUUAUGGGGUGUCUUAAAAAGGUGCCUUUAAACAUGGGAGGAACAUCCACUGACUUUACUGCAGCGUGAGAAACCUUCUUACUUCAGUAGCAAGCUGUACUUCCUGAAUAGUUAGGCAAUACUUGACGAGGAAAUAUCAAGGAACAAUAUCCUAAGGAGCACAGACUGACCCAGUGAAUGACAAUAACUAACCUGUAGGAAACAGAACCAUUUCUCAGUAAUGUAAAAGGAUGCCUCCCACCUUCCAUCUACAUUUGUGAUGUUCUUCUUGUUACAAAUUUAACCUCUUUCCCUGAUUAGCCAAGCUGGGAAAUAUUGGAGAGCCAAUUGAAUGUACUGCUGGGAACCUUUUCAAAAAUUAGGCUGAAUUUUCCCAGUUCCGGCAAAUCACAAAGGUGUUCUGAAACACCCAACAACCAGUUCAAAAUCUGCCCUGUUGGGAAAGAUACUGUGUCCCUUCAUUUCCGAUUUAUGGCGAUCCUAAGCUGAACAACUGAGAUGUAAUGGUUACAGCAAGAAGCAAUGUGAAUUCUUUUCAUAGCUGUGUUUUUACAAUAUUUUAUCCAGGUCCUGGAAUUUGCCCCAAUGCUAUGGUCUCUCUUCCCUAUAGAAGUUGGUGAUACUCACAGGAAGUCUAAAGCACCCUCGCCAGGGAGCUGUCCAGCCUCUUUCUGAAAAAUGUCCAGAGAAGGAGACUCCAUCAUCUCUGUAGGCAAUUGCCUCCAUUACCAAACUGCCCUCACUGCCAAGAAAUGCCUUCUAAUGUUCAUUCAAAAUCUACCUUCCUGUAACUUAAAACCAUUAACUCUUGCCCUACCUUCUGGUUCAAUAGAAAACAAACCUGUACCUUCCUCUUUGGGACAUCCAUUGAGAUAUUUUAAAAGUGCGACCAUGUCACCCCUCAGUCGUCUCUUCACCAAGCUGAACAUGCCCAAUUCUUCCUCAUAUGUUUUGUUCUCCAUACCUCUUAUAAUGCUUGUUCCCCGUCUCUGAACUUGCUCCAGCUUUGUAUUAUGGCUUGUUCUAACUCUAUCCUGUUUUAACUUAUGUUAUAAGAUGCAUUGGGUCUUAUACUGGGGAAAAGGUGGGAUGUAUAUUAAAUAGGCGUAUAGACUAGCUGCAGUAUAGAGUGAAAUGUAAAUAAGAGUAUUUCUGCAGUUGUCAGAUAGGGCUAGACGCUAGGCAGACUUCAGGUUUGUUGUAGCCAUACCCUCCAACCGUCCUGGUUUUGCUGGAACAGUCCUAACUAAUCCUCUGCCAUCUUGCUUUUUCAGCUGCUUUUAAACUGUCCUGGUUUCUCUCUCUUUCUUUCUUCCUUUGUCCUCAGUUUAGUUCAGUGGCUGCAAUCUGAGCUCAGACUGUAAAAGUUUCUGUUCAACUCAGCAGGAGGAGAAGAGGAAGAAGAAUAUUGCUCUUCCCACCUACCAGCCAGAUCUGCCAACCAGUUGUAAAAGAUACACACUUGGAGUGAAAGAAGACAGUGGCUCUGAGAGUAUUUUGAGCCUAGAAAUUUUGUUCUCAGUCGCAGGACUGACCUGAACUCACAGACGUCCACAGAAAAGUCCACUAUUGAUGACUUCUACCUCUCUAUAGGUAGAAAAAGUCAUGUUAGUGGUUGUUGUUGUUGUUGGGCGUUUGGCAAGCAUUUCUGUCUACUGCAAACCAACCCAAGAGUGGACCAGAAGAUCCCAGUCAACAUUCUGCCCACUCCUUCUUUAAGGCUACAAAAUCCAUGUUGCAAUGCAAUUGACUGGAGUGAAUUGACGUUGUCUUGUUUAAGGCCUUCGCCGGGCUUCCAACGCCGCAGCUUCCAGGUGGAAUUACGUACAGGCCGUUGGAAUAAAAUCUCAUCCGAGGCUGUAGAGAUUGCUAGGCAACUCAAGAGGAAUGGAGAAACAGAUAUAUCUGAUGCAAAUGCAGUAAAAGGCCUCCUUGGUGGCUGCUCCCAGGCUCUAGGACUCCUUUCCAACAGAGGUGAAAGCACAGCAAUUUAUGCCUACAAGUCUAUCGGUGUGCUAAAAACUGGCAUGUUCGAAUGCAGUUUUUUACGGCAGCUCCACUGGUCCAAAUAAAGAACUGCGGACUGUCUUUUCCUCAUGGAACAAUGCAUCUGUUUUUUUAAGGAAAAUUUGGCACCGGAUGCAGAAAUAACAUAGAAAGAAUGGCGAUAGGUUCUGACACUACAAAAACAGCAUUGAGGACACAAGAGAAGACUUUCCUGGUGGCUGCUCCCAGGCUGUUGAAUUUCCUUGGCUGGGUCCCUUUUUUGCUCUCCUGCUGACAGACCCUCUCCAGAGCCUUUCUUAGGCAGAGUCUUUUGCAUCCUCUGCUAUGUAAACCUUUUCAUUUGAGGUGCUUGGGAACUUGGGACCUUCUGCAGGCAAAGCAGGUCAUAGCAAAGGCCAGGAGAAGGUGAGGAACCCUGGAGCGCCUGCUGGGAUAAGGUCACCCGCUAUAAAUCACAAGGCUUACCAAGGUCUGGUAGGCAAU